Molecule: ribosomal RNA, 255 nt
Filed under: uncultured bacterium
Lineage: Bacteria
Description: partial 16S ribosomal RNA
Rfam family: Bacterial small subunit ribosomal RNA
Source: RNAcentral
UACGUAGGGGCAAGCGUUGGUCCGGAUUCAUUGGGCGUAAAGAGCUCGUAGGCGGUUCAGUAAGUCGGGUGUGAAAGCUCCGAGCUCAACUCGGAGAGGCCACCGAUACUGCUGUGACUUGAGUCCAGUAGAGGAGCGUUGGAAUUCCUGGUGUAGGCGGUGAAAUGCGCAGAUAUCAGGAGGAACACCGCAGCGAAGGCGGCGCUCUGGGCUGGAACUGGACGCUGAGGAGCGAAAGCGUGGGUAGCAAACAGG